Molecule: long non-coding RNA, 449 nt
Organism: Vombatus ursinus (common wombat)
Lineage: Eukaryota; Metazoa; Chordata; Mammalia; Diprotodontia; Vombatidae
Exons: 3
Source: RefSeq, a predicted model, not a curated record
UAUCUCUGUCCAGGUGGAUGGUGGCCAGUCUCCUGAUCUCCUUGUAGGUGGUGCUGGCGUGGCUCUGUCCACUGAGGAGUCCACACAAGUCCAAGGGGAGGACCAGCUGACCAGUGGACCCAAAGAAAGAGUUACCCAGCGUCAACUAUUUGCCAAGCCAUGAGAAGGAAGAGGUUUUCCGAAAUUGUUCAUUGUGAAACAGUGCUUGUAAUGAAUCCACAUUUCUACUUAAUGCAAAGAGCUAUGUUUUCAAUACCGGCAUUCUUCCCAUCAACCCACUUGACUGUGAAACUUAACUAGCGUCUCUCCAGCCUCAUAGCUCCAUCCCAUCUCCUCCCGUCUGGCGUCAUUCCCUCUGAGCAGAGAAGGCCCACAGUGGAAAGAGCAGAGGACUUGGAAGCGGAACAACUUGGUUCAAGUCUCAGCUUGCACACUCACCAGCUGCACGA